UCCCUGGUGGCUCAGACGGUAAGGCGUCUGCCUGCAAUGCGGGAGACCUGGGUUCGAUUCCUGGGUCGGGAA
RNAcentral lists this transfer RNA (72 nucleotides) under Capra hircus (goat). It matches the Rfam family "tRNA". From Rfam's summary of the family: Transfer RNA (tRNA) molecules are approximately 80 nucleotides in length. Their secondary structure includes four short double-helical elements and three loops (D, anti-codon, and T loops). Lineage: Eukaryota; Metazoa; Chordata; Mammalia; Artiodactyla; Bovidae. RNAcentral also lists the same sequence under 1 other name. The record is from Rfam by way of RNAcentral.